AGGUUAACCGUAUAGGGGAGCCGAAGGGAAACCGAGUCUUAACUGGGCGUUAAGUUGCAGGGUAUAGACCCGAAACCCGGUGAUCUAGCCAUGGGCAGGUUGAAGGUUGGGUAACACUAACUGGAGGACCGAACCGACUAAUGUUGAAAAAUUAGCGGAUGACCUGUGGCUGGGGGUGAAAGGCCAAUCAAACCGGGAGAUAGCUGGUUCUCCCCGAAAGCUAUUUAGGUAGCGCCUCGUGAACUCAUCUUCGGGGGUAGAGCACUGUUUCGGCUAGGGGGCCAUCCCGGCUUACCAACCCGAUGCAAACUACGAAUACCGAAGAAUGUUAUCACGGGAGACACACGGCGGGUGCUAACGUCCGUCGUGAAGAGGGAAACAACCCAGACCGCCAGCUAAGGUCCCAAAGUCAUGGUUAAGUGGGAAACGAUGUGGGAAGGCACAGACAGCCAGGAUGUUGGCUUAGAAGCAGCCAUCAUUUAAAGAAAGCGUAAUAGCUCACUGGUCGAGUCGGCCUGCGCGGAAGAUGUAACGGGGCUAAACCAUGCACCGAAGCUGCGGCAGCGACGCUUAUGCGUUGUUGGGUAGGGGAGCGUUCUGUAAGCCGUUGAAGGUGUGCUGUGAGGCAUGCUGGAGGUAUCAGAAGUGCGAAUGCUGACAUAAGUAACGAUAAAGCGGGUGAAAAGCCCGCUCGCCGGAAGACCAAGGGUUCCUGUCCAACGUUAAUCGGGGCAGGGUGAGUCGACCCCUAAGGCGAGGCCGAAAGGCGUAGUCGAUGGGAAACAGGUUAAUAUUCCUGUACUUGGUGUUACUGCGAAGGGGGGACGGAGAAGGCUAUGUCAGCCGGGCGACGGUUGUCCCGGUUUAAGCAUGUAGGCGGAGGUUCCAGGUAAAUCCGGUACCUUAUUAACGCUGAGGUGUGAUGACGAGGCACUACGGUGCUGAAGUGAUAAAUGCCCUGCUUCCAGGAAAAGCCUCUAAGCAUCAGGUAACACGAAAUCGUACCCCAAACCGACACAGGUGGUCAGGUAGAGAAUACCAAGGCGCUUGAGAGAACUCGGGUGAAGGAACUAGGCAAAAUGGUGCCGUAACUUCGGGAGAAGGCACGCUGAUGUGUAGGUGAAGCCCCUGCGGGCGGAGCUGAAAUCAGUCGAAGAUACCAGCUGGCUGCAACUGUUUAUUAAAAACACAGCACUGUGCAAACACGAAAGUGGACGUAUACGGUGUGACGCCUGCCCGGUGCCGGAAGGUUAAUUGAUGGGGUUAGCGGCAACGCGAAGCUCUUGAUCGAAGCCCCGGUAAACGGCGGCCGUAACUAUAACGGUCCUAAGGUAGCGAAAUUCCUUGUCGGGUAAGUUCCGACCUGCACGAAUGGCGUAAUGAUGGCCAGGCUGUCUCCACCCGAGACUCAGUGAAAUUGAACUCGCUGUGAAGAUGCAGUGUACCCGCGGCAAGACGGAAAGACCCCGUGAACCUUUACUAUAGCUUGACACUGAACACUGGUCCUUGAUGUGUAGGAUAGGUGGGAGGCUUUGAAGCGUGGACGCCAGUCUGCGUGGAGCCAACCUUGAAAUACCACCCUUUAAUGGCUGGUGUUCUAACGUGGACCCGUAAUCCGGGUUGCGGACAGUGUCUGGUGGGUAGUUUGACUGGGGCGGUCUCCUCCCAAAGAGUAACGGAGGAGCACGAAGGUUGGCUAAUCCUGGUCGGACAUCAGGAGGUUAGUGCAAUGGCAUAAGCCAGCUUGACUGCGAGCGUGACGGCGCGAGCAGGUGCGAAAGCAGGUCAUAGUGAUCCGGUGGUUCUGAAUGGAAGGGCCAUCGCUCAACGGAUAAAAGGUACUCCGGGGAUAACAGGCUGAUACCGCCCAAGAGUUCAUAUCGACGGCGGUGUUUGGCACCUCGAUGUCGGCUCAUCACAUCCUGGGGCUGAAGUAGGUCCCAAGGGUAUGGCUGUUCGCCAUUUAAAGUGGUACGCGAGCUGGGUUUAGAACGUCGUGAGACAGUUCGGUCCCUAUCUGCCGUGGGCGCUGGAGAAUUGAGGGGGGCUGCUCCUAGUACGAGAGGACCGGAGUGGACGCAUCACUGGUGUUCGGGUUGUCAUGCCAAUGGCACUGCCCGGUAGCUAAAUGCGGAAGAGAUAAGUGCUGAAAGCAUCUAAGCACGAAACUUGCCCCGAGAUGAGUUCU
RNAcentral lists this ribosomal RNA (2188 nucleotides) under Enterobacter cloacae. Its description in RNAcentral is "bacterial LSU rRNA". It matches the Rfam family "Bacterial large subunit ribosomal RNA", at positions 643 to 2812 of the family's 2925-position model. The record is from RNAcentral. Lineage: Bacteria; Pseudomonadati; Pseudomonadota; Gammaproteobacteria; Enterobacterales; Enterobacteriaceae.